This 253-nucleotide ribosomal RNA is filed under the name uncultured bacterium. Its description in RNAcentral is "partial 16S ribosomal RNA". It matches the Rfam family "Bacterial small subunit ribosomal RNA", at positions 524 to 776 of the family's 1533-position model. The record is from RNAcentral.
UACAGAGGUCUCGAGCGUUAGGCGGAAUCACUGGGCUUAAAGCGUGUGUAGGUGGAUCGUUAAGUACCUUGUGAAAUCCCACGGCUUAACCGUGGAACUGCUUGGUAUACUGGCGGUCUUGAGCCACUUAGGGGCUACCGGAACAAAUGGUGGAGCGGUGAAAUGCGUAGAUAUCGGGAGGAACACCUGUGGCGAAAGCGGCUCACUGGACCACAACUGACGCUGAGGCGCGAAAGCGUGGGGAGCAAACAGG